RNAcentral lists this unclassified non-coding RNA (199 nucleotides) under Scolecobasidium tshawytschae. Its description in RNAcentral is "partial internal transcribed spacer 2". The record is from RNAcentral. Lineage: Eukaryota; Fungi; Ascomycota; Dothideomycetes; Venturiales; Sympoventuriaceae.
CACCGUCCAAGCUGCGGCUUGAUGUUGGGCGAGGCUGCGGUCCGAGAGGACGGGCGGCGCGCCUGGAAGGUAUGGGCGGCGGAGGCCAGACCGCGAGCGUAGCAAGACGAGAGUCACCCGCUCGGACGGAUCUGGCGGACGCGUGUCGAGAAGUCGAGGAUGCGAGGGCGACCGCGCAAAGACGACGAAACACACACAA